RNAcentral lists this transfer RNA (73 nucleotides) under Phytophthora infestans T30-4. It matches the Rfam family "tRNA". Rfam says of the family: Transfer RNA (tRNA) molecules are approximately 80 nucleotides in length. Their secondary structure includes four short double-helical elements and three loops (D, anti-codon, and T loops). Further hydrogen bonds mediate the characteristic L-shaped molecular structure. tRNAs have two regions of fundamental functional importance: the anti-codon, which is responsible for specific mRNA codon recognition, and the 3' end, to which the tRNAs corresponding amino acid is attached (by aminoacyl-tRNA synthetases). tRNAs cope with the degeneracy of the genetic code in two manners: having more than one tRNA (with a specific anti-codon) for a particular amino acid; and 'wobble' base-pairing, i.e. permitting non-standard base-pairing at the 3rd anti-codon position. The record is from Rfam by way of RNAcentral. Lineage: Eukaryota; Oomycota; Peronosporomycetes; Peronosporales; Peronosporaceae.
ACCCGUCUAGCUCAGUCGGUAGAGCGCUGGCCUUUUAAGCCAGUGGUCGUGGGUUUGAUCCCCACGAGGGGUG